RNAcentral lists this long non-coding RNA (1423 nucleotides) under Hordeum vulgare. RNAcentral describes it as "long non-coding RNA (HVUL_LNC013943)". Lineage: Eukaryota; Viridiplantae; Streptophyta; Magnoliopsida; Poales; Poaceae. The record is from RNAcentral.
AAUUACUCUUUUGCUCUUUAUGGAUUAUGUUAAGGAAGAAGGAAUUACUCUAUUUCUACCACCUUGUCGAUUUGAUACUUGUUAAUAAGUCGUGGCAUUCCCUUUUCCCAAAUUCCAAUGAUACUACAUGAGAUGAGAAGAUGGUGUAGUAUAUAUUUACUUGAGAUAAUACUUUGAUCAAGUGACUACAGAACUCACUGUCAAAGAAACCAAAGACUUCACCAAACCUUCAGUACCUUCCCAUUUGAACUGUGCAUAGUAUGUGAUGUAGUUCUCCGUCUGGGUUUAUUAGUUUUUGCAUUUUGGGUCAAAGUUUGACCAUAAAUUUUAAUAAUUACUUCUAAUAUGUAUCUAACUAUAUAAUUUUUAGGACAUAUCACAUAUAUUUUCCUAUUCAAACAUAUUGUCAAAGUUUGAAACAGGAUACGAUGAGGACUAAUAAACCGGAUGGAAGGAGUAGAUAACUUAUGAGCCCGUACCUUUUUUUCUUCUAAAACUUCCCUACUACUACAUUUUCCCCUCUACAGAGAAUUCAAGUUCUCAACCUAACACAAUAAAUGUAAUCUCUGUCUUUGCAAGCUCUCGGACAAUAAGCAUAAUUCAACCUCUUAGAUGAAGUCUUCGUGUUCUUCUCUACCAUGUUGCACGUCUUAUAUAAGUAUAGUUUUUGGUACUGUAACUGUACGUUCUAAUAAUAUUGCACAAGAUUGUUGAUCGAUAAAAUGGUAAAGAUUCUUAGGAAUGAUUGGCAACGGGAUUGACAGAAACAACAACUUGGAUGGAUUCUAUGUGAACAAAGUGGUAUGUAUGUCGGAGUUACAUCUCCAUGCAAUUAAGCUACUAGUUACAUCCAUAUCUAGAACACAUGGUCGACAAAUACAUUGAGAAGAUGUGGAACCUCAAGGAACGUGGAAGACCUCUAAACCUUGAGAACAUAGAAACAUCUAACCGGAUGUAGAUGAAAACCCUAGCUAUGCGACCUUUCCCUGUGCUUCCUGUUGGAUAGGGUUGGUCGCCCAUCUGCUGCACUAGCCUGGCACAUAAUCAUGAAGGUUAGCUUGUAAGCAUGCACAUGUCACAGGGAAUGCCCGUGUAAUCCCGCUCAUCAUGUUGAUGCACAGAUCCAGUGACUACAACCAUGCUUUGCUGUUGAAAAUUGUAUGGUUGUCAGCGGACGAUAUUCAGUUUUAGAUUUGUGAGCUAUGUGUGUGUUUAAGGGUCAUUUAAUUAGUUAUGAAGACACUGACAUUUAACUUGUUUAUAACAUACUAUUUGAACUGUGAUUGUUCUUACACUUGUAAAGAUCAAGUACAAUUUGGAGAACAGGUUUCUCAUUUUCUAGUCACAUUGAUGUCAAUAAAGAGGGGUCCUAAAAAAGUCGGUAUAAGAGCAAUAAUAUUAAUAUGACAUAUAAGCUUAUAAU